Non-coding RNA from Callithrix jacchus (white-tufted-ear marmoset), 1471 nucleotides. The record is from RefSeq and is a predicted model, not a curated record. NCBI's taxonomy places the organism in Eukaryota, Metazoa, Chordata, Mammalia, Primates, Cebidae.
AGUAUCUUUUCCUCCCCAUUUCAAACAGGGAUCCAGGCGACAUCCGUGACAGUCGAUCUCUACAGCAGAACAGCAGCAGCUGCCAGCUGCAUGAAACACAUUGCGGCCUGCAAACUGACUGAAAUGAUGACUACUCUUAACCAGACAUCUCAUUUUUCCAUUUGUGAGAGGCUGAGAUCUGCAAACCUCUGGGUCUCAAGAGGUGAAAGAAGGCUACAUUAGCCACUGCAUUAGCCAACUAAGAGCAAAAACUCAACUCUUCUUUGCUAUUAAAGGAUUUGCCGGUUAUAAACGGCUAGGAGACUUCACAGAGUUUCUUAAGUGUAUGUAAUGUUUAAAUUUCCCCAUUAAGUGUAAGGAGGCAAAAAAAAAAAAAAUCCUUUUAAAUAACUAAGCAGAGGGUAUGAAAGGGGAGCGAAGAAUAGACACAACUGUUACUUUUCAAAGAACUUCAGCUCUUUAUUCCAACAAAUAUUUACACAAUUGAAGGCCACAGCAAGAGGGAUAUAGCCAUUCUGUUAAAAUAGUGGGCAACUCUAACGGUUUAUUUAUCCCAAAUCCGACUGUCCUGUUGCUAUCCUACCAGGAACCAAGAAUUCACGUGUUCACAGGGCCAGAGUUUAGCUUUCUGAAACUGUGGACUUCAUUUAGACCUCUCGCAGCCGGAUUCAGACGUCAGAAUCGCAGAGAUAACAUCUCGAACGCCCGAAUUAAACCAAACAAGGAAGCUUAAAAUUACACGUCCAAUACUUGAAAAUCUACAUCUGUAACUUACACGUUCAUAUUACGAAGGAAAAUGUGGCUGGCAAAUAUUUACACUGAAAGACUGCACAUUUUUACGCCUCGUCUAGUCCACUCCCAGCUGUGCCUGCCCAUGACGAGCUGUGCACUCCAGAGCUGUUGAGUUGCUGCGGGAUCAAGGUUUCUAGGGAAGAGGGCAGGGCCGGGCGCCCAGAGGAUUUCCAGGCACCGGACACUUUACCACCAGAAAAAGCUGCAGGCGUCGCUCCCUCUUUUACAUAAGAAAGUCCAUCCUGCUGCCUUGCGAAGGUGUCUGCUUCUCCUUUACCUCUUGCCACGAUUCUGUUUCCUGAGGCCUCCCCAGCAAUGUGGAACUUGAACCUAGACCCUGAGUCAGGAGGAAGAGGAAAGACUACAUGGGGUCACUAUCUAAGGUGUUCUUGGUGACAGCCCCUGCUGAUGACCCAGCUGACAGCCAGCACCAACCUCCAGACAAGUGAGUAAGAUUUCAGGUGAGUCCCAGUCCUAGCCUUUGCGGGUCGUCAGCUGAUGCUGAGUGAAGAAGAGACAAGAUGUUCUCUCUGAGCCUUACCUAGAUUGUAGUGUUGGAGCAGCAUAAGUACUGUCAUUGCUUUAGGCCACUGAAUUUUGGGGUGUGUGUUACACUGCAGUCGACGAUGAGAACCAGUGCCUACCUCUGCACCAGCUUUCAGAGGGGCAGAGUCCUAAA